GGAAGCUAGGGGUCGCUGGAACGCUCGGUGGAGCGGUGAAAUGCGUUGAGAUCGAGCGGAACGCCGAAGGUGAAGACAGGCGACUGGGGCUUUCCUGACGCUGAGGCACGAAAGCGUGGGGAUCAAACAGGAUUAGAUACCCUGGUAGUCCACGCUGUAAACGAUGCACACUAGAUCGAUGCGGGUUUGACCCCGUGUUGGUCGGAGAGAAAUUGUUAAGUGUGCCGCCUGGGAAGUACGGUCGCAAGGCUAAAACUCAAAGGAAUUGACGGGGGCUCACACAAGCGGUGGAGCAUGUUGCUUAAUUCGAAGCAACGCGAAGAGCCUUACCUGGGCUUGACAUGCACGGAUCAACUCCAUGAAAGUGGAGCCACAGUCGCAAGACCGGAACGUGCACAGGUGCUGCAUGGCUGUCGUCAGCUCGUGCUGUGAAGUGUCGGGUUAAGUCCCUUAACGAGCGCAACCCCUGUCGCUAGUUGCCAGCGCGUAAUGGCGGGGACUCUAGCGAGACUGCCGGUGUCAAACCGGAGGAAGGUGGGGAUGACGUCAAGUCCUCAUGGCCCUUAUGUCCAGGGUGGCAAACGUGCUACAAUGGCACGCACAGAGCGAUGCAAGGCCGCAAGGCGGAGCAAAUCGCAAAAAGCGUGCCCCAGUUCAGAUUGCGGUCUGCAACCCGACCGCAUGAAGUCGGAAUCGCUAGUAAUCGGGGAUCAGCCAUGCCCCGGUGAAUAAGUUCCUGAGCCUUGUACACACCGCCCGUCAAGUCAUGGGAGCCGGGAGCGCCCGAAGUCGCCACAUCUCAGUGGUGCCAACGGCGAGCUCGGUGACUGGGACUAAGUCGUAACAAGGUAACCGUA
RNAcentral lists this ribosomal RNA (857 nucleotides) under uncultured bacterium. Its description in RNAcentral is "bacterial SSU rRNA". It matches the Rfam family "Bacterial small subunit ribosomal RNA", at positions 646 to 1504 of the family's 1533-position model. The record is from RNAcentral.